This 510-nucleotide ribosomal RNA is filed under the name uncultured Glomeromycotina. RNAcentral describes it as "SSU rRNA". It matches the Rfam family "Eukaryotic small subunit ribosomal RNA", at positions 569 to 1078 of the family's 1831-position model. Lineage: Eukaryota; Fungi; Glomeromycota. The record is from RNAcentral.
AGCAGCCGCGGUAAUUCCAGCUCCCAUAGCGUAUAUUAAAGUUGUUGCAGUUAAAAAGCUCGUAGUUGAACUUCGGGGUCUACCCAUUGGUCAGGCUUAAUUGUCUGCACUGGUGAGAUGGAUCUCUACCUUCUGAGGAACUUUCAUGCCAUUUAUUUGGUGUGGUUGGAAAUCAGGACUGUUACUUUGAAAAAAUUAGAGUGUUUAAAGCAGACUAUCGUCUGAAUACAUUAGCAUGGAAUAAUGAAAUAGGACGGACUGAUUCUAUUUCGUUGGUUUCUAGGAUCACCGUAAUGAUUAAUAGGGAUAGUUGGGGGCAUUAGUAUUCAAUUGUCAGAGGUGAAAUUCUUGGAUUUAUUGAAGACUAACUACUGCGAAAGCAUUUGCCAAGGAUGUUUUCAUUAAUCAAGAACGAAAGUUAGGGGAUCGAAGACGAUCAGAUACCGUCGUAGUCUUAACCAUAAACUAUGCCGACUAGGGAUCGGACGAAGUUAAUUUUAUAAUGACGCG